GCCAGCGUAGCUCAGUGGUAGAGCACCGCCCUCAUAAAGCGGUCGUCACAGGUUCAAUUCCUGUCGCUGGCACCA
This 75-nucleotide transfer RNA is filed under the name Patescibacteria group bacterium. Its description in RNAcentral is "tRNA-Met". It matches the Rfam family "tRNA". Rfam says of the family: Transfer RNA (tRNA) molecules are approximately 80 nucleotides in length. Their secondary structure includes four short double-helical elements and three loops (D, anti-codon, and T loops). The record is from RNAcentral.